This 1386-nucleotide long non-coding RNA is filed under the name Phoenix dactylifera (date palm). RNAcentral describes it as "long non-coding RNA (PDAC_LNC014815)". The record is from RNAcentral. Lineage: Eukaryota; Viridiplantae; Streptophyta; Magnoliopsida; Arecales; Arecaceae.
UAUCUUCAAACAUAAUUAUGACAUUGAAGGCUACAAAUUAAAGGUCAAAUGUAGAAUGGUUUCAAAUUUCAGCUAAAACUAAAAUAGCACAUUCAUUUUGGAUUGAUUCCAGUUCAAACACAUCAUAAAUUAACCAUACUUUUGUAAACAUCAACUUGUCUGAGUAGCAUUAGCUGAAGUAAGUUUUGGUUCCUCACCCCUUUGUUCUAUUUUCUACUUUCUUUUCACUGAAAUUACUUCAAAACUAAAAAUAGCACUUUCAAAUUAGAAGUUUAAUGUUAAUAUACAAGAAAAUAAAUAGUUACCCAUACAUAUUUGAAACAUUCGAGCAUGUUUUGUGCUGAAGGCUUUUUAUUGCUGCUUUGAAUAUUUGAAACUUUUAUUUCUAGCAGAAAAUGUUUUUCAAUACAAAAUAACAAUCUUUAUAAUAGAGGGCUACUGUAACAAAUGAUGUGGAUUUCGUAAUAAACUUGUCUUAAUUUCACUAAACAUUUUUAAUAAAUAGGAAUUUUCAAAUUUUAAAAAUUAGAAACCUAAUGCUUAUCAGAGGCUUUAUAUUGUUCUUAGUUACUCUCAUUGCAAUUCAUACUUCCCUAUUCAUUCUUACACAACAUUUUAAUUGUAUCAACAUCUAAUACUAAGGCAUCGCUCUUUGUGCUAGAUUAUCAGCAAUGAACAUAUUAUACUCUAAUGUGGUAGUUAUGCUACUGAAUUGAAUUAUUUUUCAAAAAAAAUUUCACAUUUACAUAUCAAAAUUAAGACCAAAAUCAGCAGAACUAUAGCAGAAACAACAGAAAUAGUAAAACUUCGGGCCACAAACCAAACCUAAGUUUUAAGAACAUGAUUUAAAAGAUUUACAUUGCUAAAAUCAACUGUAAAUGUUCAAGUGAGAAUUAAGAUAUUAGUAGAACGCAAUGAGUCAUUCUAACAUGUAUCAUCAUGAGUACAUCAAGCACAUAGAUAUGCAUCUAAAACCCGACAAUGCAUUUUACAUUAUAUGAGAAAUUACAAGAAAAUUUUGCUUGUUUAAUUAAAAAAAAUUAGCCAAUGUGCACCCAAAAGAAAAUAUGUCCAUUUCGGUAGUUCCAGCCAUGCCUAUGGAGUAUCAGUUUCAAGUUCUAUCCCCAAAAAUGAAGUUAAUAUUGCAUUAUUACACAACAUUUUAGACCAUUUUGUGUAACCUAGGUCCUUUAUUUAAAUAGUUUCAACAAUUACAAGAUUGAAGUUAAUAUUACAUAUGAAUAAAAUUAAGUAUACUACUAUUUCCUACUGUAGACAAAUGUGUGUAAUUUGCCUUACUUCAGUUGAAAUAUCAAAAUAAAAUUCAUUGAAUUCGAGCAUUAUUUUGAUAUUUAAGCAGCUAAAAAAGCAAAAGCAUGCAGUCUU